Molecule: long non-coding RNA, 272 nt
Filed under: Sus scrofa (pig)
Lineage: Eukaryota; Metazoa; Chordata; Mammalia; Artiodactyla; Suidae
Description: lncRNA (ENSSSCG00070001344.1)
Source: RNAcentral
AGGGCCUUAGGGAGCCUGAGGGAGGCGCGGUUCCUGGGGGAAGGGUGUGGCGAGGCGGCGGCAGCCCGCGUGGCGCUGUGGCGCCCCAGCGAAGGGGCAGUGCUGGCCACUCGUGUGGCCCUUUGGCUGCUGGCACCCAGUGAGAGGGGGGAGGCCAGGGACAGCCUGGCCCCUUGCUGAGGCGUGCUUGCGCGUGUCCGUUGUCGCCCUCACCCAGCUGCUGUGGCGGAGAGACGGAGGCCAGCGCGGGGAGCGGAAGCCGGAGCCUGUCG